Camellia sinensis is the source of this 3286-nucleotide non-coding RNA. Lineage: Eukaryota; Viridiplantae; Streptophyta; Magnoliopsida; Ericales; Theaceae. The record is from RefSeq and is a predicted model, not a curated record.
AGGACUUGGACAAGAAAAUGCUGAUCACAAAAAGAAGUGUUAUCUCAAACAUCCUUACACACGUGGUUGUGAAGAAAAAUGGGACAAAGUUUAGAAGCAGGGUAGUAGUAUCUCAAAAGAGAGAAUUGGGUGAGAAAUCAAGGACCAAGCAGGAACCCAUUUUUUCAUUGAGAGUUUCAAACACAAUUCUUGCUCAGUCUGCAAUUACAGUGCUUGGAUUGGGGUUCAUCGAUGCCGGGAUUGGGAGGUAAUAUGGAGUACCAUAUCAUCAUUGAUCUUCUUGCUUUCAAAGUCAUCACAGGCUACAAAAUAGAGAAGAGAAUGGUGUGAUGAAUCUGAUUCCAGUAUCGUGGAAGAUACUAUGGGAUGUGUGGAAAGUUCAGAUGCUGGUUCUACUUAGUUUCACUUUACAAAUCAUUCUUUUCGUCUUUGGCAAACGCAGAAAGAAUAUAUUGUCACAAUGGAUUAAUGUGAUUGUCUGGUUGGCCUACACAAUGGCCGAUUGGGUGGCAACUGUCGCCCUUGGCAAGCUCUCUCAUACCCUAAAUAAUAUUCCUAAUCCCAAUAAUACAUUACAGGCAUUAUGGGCACCCUUCCUUUUAUUGCAUCUUGGUGGCCCAGAUACCAUAACUGCUUAUUCUUUGAAUGAUAAUCAAUUAUGGAUAAGGCAUUUUUUGGGCAUGAGUGUUCAAGUUACUGUGGCAAUUUAUGUCAUUGUUAUGUCUUGGAGGCAUUUCUGGUUUUCAUUUAUGUUAAUUCCGGCAUUCGUGGCUAGAAUUAUUAAGUACGGGGAGAGGACAUGGGCUCUUAAGUUAGCAUGCCAUGAUGAAUCAAAAAACAUUGUACCCUUUUAUGAUCUAAGAGGCCCACAUGGUCUAGCUCGCUUCAUCGGAAAAAGGACAUGUGAAAAUGAUUUAAUAAUGGCCCACAAUCUAGUGAUGGAAUUUAAAGAUUAUAGAGAGAAUUAUGACAUUCGUAGAUCUAGUUUCAAACUACGGUAUGGACUGUUCAUCUGCCUAGCUCUUUUGUUACUCUUCUCUAUUCAGAUGUAACCCAGUUUGGUGAUUAAUAUACUCCCCUUUUCUGAUCCAAAAAAAAAAAACUACGGUAUGCAAAACUAAAUCCAGAUGCAAUAAAUCUGGAUGAUUAUAUAGAAUGUGAGAAUGUAUUGGAGGUUGAAAUGGGGCUCAUGUACGAUUUGUUAUACACAAAAGCACCCAUAACAUUUACCAAGAGAGGGUGCAUUUUUCGCUCUAUCAACUUCAUGUGUACAGUGUCUGUGUUGGUAGGACUCUUCUGGCUUAUCGCCAAGUGGCACAAGCAGCACUACUCCAUGGUUGAUAUUGUCAUCACAGGGGCACUAUUGGUCGGAGCUCUAGCUUUGGAGAUUUAUGCAGUCAUUUUGUUAUUAUUCUCUGAUCGGGCAAUGCUUUGGCUAAUUAAGCGCGGCAAAGGCAAAUGGGAAAAUCAAUUGUGGCAAAAAUUUCCUUGGUUUUUUGGAAAGAAUAAGUGGUCUAAAAAGAUAGGGCAAAUUGAUCUAUUGAAAAAGGAAAACAAUCAUAAAAAAUGGAAUGGAAUAAUUGGGAGGUUGGGGAUUCAAGACAAGUUCUAUAGGUACAUGCAUACGACUAGUGUGUGUAUCCCUCCGAAGCUAUGUCCCAUGAUUGUUCAAUUUAUUUAUAGAGCCACAGCUACAGACAACCUUAUUGACUUUGGGUGGCUUAAGGGGUUUAUUGGCUCUACACCUUUUCAUGAGCUAAUUUUUUUUAUGCACAUCAUAACAGAUAUAUGUUGCCAUUAUGAUGAUGCAUACACUUCCUAUUAGGUUAAAUGUGACCACAUCAUAAUAUGGUGUGCCUCUCCAUACUUGAUCAUUUCCAAUUGGCUAGUGUAUUCCUUCCCGCAAGGAAAUGGAACAAUCUGGUAAGUUAAGAAUUUGAAUUUGAACACAAUGGGCACAUUGUUUCAUGACAAUUGUGGUUGUAAGUUUGUGUACCCAAAGGUUGUGACCUUUGGCAUGGUUGCCAUUGUGUUUAUAAAAGCAAUGGCAGGAUGUGUUUUUCAUAUACAAGUUUUAGAACCAUUGAAUAACCUUUGCUUUCGGAUUAUUGAUUCCAUCUUGCAUGAUAAAUACCCUCACGGGAAUUCCAAUCAUUUAGCCAUUGUAAAGUAUAUCUUUUAGUGGUAUCAAAGCCUGUUUACACAUUAUCGCAGAUGUCGAAAUAUAGUCUAGAAGAACAAAAAUUUUCCAAACUCUUUUUACCAAAAAUUCAGAAAAUCAUUGAUUGUCAAUCUUCGGCAUUGGUUAUUUCGGUUUGUUUAUAUAAUCAUCAUCAACGUAUUGUAUUUCCAAACAACUAUCCGAAGAAAAUAACUGUUGGUGGUGCUAUUGUUUCAAACCUUGCCGAAAGUGAGUCCGAAUUACACCGUUGGAAACAAUUUUACAAAAUAUUUUUCGCUUCAAAUUGCAUCUCCAAAUUGGCACCAUCUUGUUCUUCUCAAAAUUUUGAUCAUGAAAAACGGAGAAAAUUUGAUCCAGAAGAUCCAACUUACAGUGUUUGGUCUCAUACCCCCACCGAAGAAGACGAUCGGAAAAUUCAGUGCCAAGAAGAAGACUUUGUUUUGCAAACUAAAAGGCUUGGGCUGAAUUCAAAAUUAAAAAGAGGGCCCAAAAUAAAGUUUACUGCAAGGAAAUCAAUUCCUUUGGACCUAAAAAUUAAAAAUACAUUUUUUGGGCCAAUUCAGAAAUCGACCCAAGUCUGCCAGGCGGAGCCCAACAACCCAAAGCCUCAAGGACCACCCAGCCCAGCGACUCAGCCCAGUAGCCCAAAGCCGCGGCCCAGCGUCUCGCGCCCAGAUCCGCGCGUCGACCAAGCGCCCAGCACACCGCGCCCAGACUUGCGUCCGUCUGCUCCGCACGACCCGCGUACUAACCCGCGCACUGAUCCGCACGUUGACCCGUGCGUUGACCAGCGGUUCAAGACGGUUCAAGCUGGUUCAGCCAAAACAUUGAACCGACAGAUUGGUUCAAGGGGUUUUUCAGCUCGUUCUCGCUUAUUUCAAGGCCGUUUUUAGUCAUUCAAAAGCCAAAAUUUCCAGAAUUUUUCUAAGAAUUUUUCUGUGGGUACUUGUUCUACAUUUUCAAAACAAAAAAUUCAAGAAGAAGGCUAUCCAAGGGUGUUACCAAGGAAAACAUCCAUAGAAACAUUGUUUCAAAGGCACCAUUGUGUUCCUUGGGCUCGUAACUAUUAUUACAAUACUCAUAAGCAAAGUGUUGGGUUUAAAA